UACGAAGGGUGCAAGCGUUACUCGGAAUUACUGGGCGUAAAGCGUGCGUAGGUGGUUUGUUAAGUCUGUUGUGAAAGCCCCGGGCUCAACCUGGGAAUGGCAAUGGAUACUGGCAGGCUAGAGUGCGGUAGAGGGUAGUGGAAUUCCCGGUGUAGCGGUGAAAUGCGUAGAGAUCCGGAAGAACACCGGUGGCGAAGGCGGUUAGCUGGGCAGUUGCUGACACUGAGGCGCGACAGCGUGGGGAGCAAACAGG
RNAcentral lists this ribosomal RNA (253 nucleotides) under uncultured bacterium. RNAcentral's name for it is "partial 16S ribosomal RNA". It matches the Rfam family "Bacterial small subunit ribosomal RNA", at positions 524 to 776 of the family's 1533-position model. The record is from RNAcentral.